ACUGACACUUUACAGCUUCUUGAUUUUUGUUGGGCAAAAUGACAAGCAGUACAGUCCACACUAUUUACAUAUGUAAGAUGGCCUCGCUUGUCUGCUUAUCCAUUCAUGAAGCUUCUGUCACGGUUCAUCCCUGAAUCAGUCAGUCACGGCGGUGGUGGUGUUGUUGCUGCUGAGGGCCUGCUCUAGCAGGGCUCGCUGGGCGGAGGCAGGCAGGUAGAGGAAGGAGUAGACCAGCGCCAGCAGCAGCAGAGCCAGCAGCAAAAGGAGACCCCAGUCCGACGUAAUUAUAGGCUCAUCACAGCGAGCCUGCAAAAAUGACUUAUUAUGCAUGGUGGAGAGGCGGCUUAAAAUACUCACGGCAGUCUCAGAAAGUAAUCCUACAGAAAUAAAUGCAAGGUCAGAAAAAUUACACCUCUCAGAGUUGGAAAAAAAUGAAUACCGCUUAUAUAAGCUGUGUCCUUCACGCUUUAUCCAAAUGAUAUAAAAUAAACGGUAUCUAGACAGCCUGCCUUGUCACGUCUCUGGGCAAAAAAAAAAAAAAAUCAGUUUGAGAAAAGACCUGUAAAAAUGUUCGUAUUAUGGCCGGCAAAGACUUUUGCACCAAACUCAAAGUGGUGCAGAAAAGAUCAAAACAGUUCUAAAAAGAAAAAAUACAUCCAAGAUAGAGAAAGCUGGUUAGAAAUUAAGCAAAUCCAGAGCAACAAGGAAUCUUUAGAUAUCUUUUUUCACACAAUCCACAGUAAGGAUGCUGAAAAACUUCCUCUUACAAUAUCAGUAUUGAUGCUUGCCUCCUGCACAGUAUCUGCCAGCUCAUCCUCUCUCUGACUGAAGCCUUUGUGUUAGUGCCACGUGCAUCUGUGUGUAAGCAUGUGUGCCUUCUUAUCGGAGUGCAUGAUCUGCUAUGACAUGUUACGAAACAAUAACCAGAAAAACAGCAUCACAGCAGCACGACUGUAUCCAAUUCUCCAGCAUUUGACUCAACGCACACACCAAUUAUAUAAUAAGUCUUCAUCCUCUUAGCUCAACACACAUUAUUACCUGUCUGCGUUCAGGGAUUACUCUCUGGAAGAGCCUGUGCUUUAUUCAACCAAUGUGUUUCAGCACGUAAUGUUCCAAAGAGUCUUCACUUACUAUAUUAGCUUUGGACCCGUGAGGAGGUCAAAGCGUGACAAGAUGGAGAAACGUUUUCUUCACCCCAUCUCUGAAUCUGAGCCCUUUGUCUUCGUCCUCUCGCACGUCCUUGCUCAGGUGCCCUCCAAUGCCCCUGGAUGUGCCAGGGCAGACUUGAACAAAGCGCAUAAACAAAACGUGGCAUUUCAUUA
Astatotilapia calliptera (eastern happy) is the source of this 1322-nucleotide long non-coding RNA. The record is from Ensembl. NCBI's taxonomy places the organism in Eukaryota, Metazoa, Chordata, Actinopteri, Cichliformes, Cichlidae.